UACGAAGGGGGCUAGCGUUGUUCGGAAUUACUGGGCGUAAAGGGCGCGUAGGCGGUUGCUCAAGUCAGGCGUGAAAGCCCCGGGCUCAACCUGGGAAUUGCGCUGGAGACUAGGCGGCUUGAGUUCGGGAGAGGUGAGUGGAAUUCCCAGUGUAGAGGUGAAAUUCGUAGAUAUUGGGAAGAACACCGGUGGCGAAGGCGGCUCACUGGACCGACACUGACGCUGAGGCGCGAAAGCUAGGGGAGCAAACAGG
RNAcentral lists this ribosomal RNA (253 nucleotides) under uncultured bacterium. RNAcentral describes it as "partial 16S ribosomal RNA". It matches the Rfam family "Bacterial small subunit ribosomal RNA", at positions 524 to 776 of the family's 1533-position model. The record is from RNAcentral.